RNAcentral lists this ribosomal RNA (2842 nucleotides) under Haliotis diversicolor supertexta. RNAcentral describes it as "eukaryotic LSU rRNA". The stretch from base 1304 to 2635 matches the Rfam family "Bacterial large subunit ribosomal RNA". The record is from RNAcentral. Lineage: Eukaryota; Metazoa; Mollusca; Gastropoda; Lepetellida; Haliotidae.
AGCUCUUUUUACGGAGAGUGUUUCUCCUCUCAUAAUUUGGCAGAGUCAGCUAAAUUUAAGCUGUUGGGCUCAUGCCCCGAAAAUGGUAUAAUUGUAUAUCCUCUGCUAGUAAAUUUAAGGUUAUGGAUUUGGUUUUGGUUCUGUGUCUUGGCUUUAGUUACAGAAAACACAUGGUACUUUAUGGGUUCCGGUGAGUAAGGAAUGUUAAAUUAAAUCAAAGUUUAAUAUUUUGUUUUAUUUUACGUUUUAGGGCAUAAUUGUAUUUAUAUGACGCUUAUUUUUAUUCACUUUGUACACCAGUGUUGGAGGUUGAACAAUAAACUUUGGUUUGAUUCAGUGAGUUGCUAUUGAGGUCUGGUAAAGUUUGUGCCAGCAACUGCGGUUAGACAAACAGACCUAGUCAAGAUUUUUGCAGCAUAAAGUAGGGUUAGGGGUACAUAGUUUAACUGUUAGAGGAUUUAAGAUGGUUUGAGGGGUGCAAUCCUAAGAAUCGUGUAUUUAUCUGGUAUUCUCUUGUUACCUGAUGCCCUGAAACUCCAAUUAAAAACCGGGAUUUGGUAUCCCGUUAUUCGGAGUGUAAACUUUGGUUUGUAAUCUGCUGGGGUACUACGAGCGCUAAGGUUUUUAGCUAGGCUUAAAACUCAAAAAACUUGGCGGUGUUUCAUAUCCUCCCAGGGGAACCUGUCUCGUAAACGAUGAUCCACGAUUUAUCUUACCUUGUUUUGAAAUGCUUAUUGAAAGCAGGACAGCUUGUAUACCGUCGCCGAUAGAUUACCCUUGAGGGGUUAAAAGUGGUCGGGAAGAGAAGUUGAGGUUGGGCGAUACAGUGGCCACUUAGUGGCUGUUGUGGUAGUUCAUGUUAGGUUGUAAAGCUUACGGGCUUUGUAAUGUUAUGUUUCUCAGGAUGUCAGAUCAAGGUGCAGCAUAUGAUUAGGUGAUGAUGGGUUACAAUAAUUUAUUUAUUAUACGGAUUUUCUACUGGAAUGUAGAAUUUAAAGGCGGACUUGGAUGUAAUGUUGAAUUAGGAAGUUAUAGUGAACUAGGUUUUGAAAUGUGUACAAAUCGCCCGUCGCUCUCGUUGAAAAAUGAGAUAAGUCGUAACAUAGUAGGGGUACCGGAAGGUGCCCCUGGAAUAUUGGUUAUUUUGGGGUAUAGUAUAAAUAUUACGUUUCGCUUACACUGAAAAUAUAGCUCGCGGGGGCUUGCCCUGAUAGUUAAUUAGUUGCUUAUCUUGUGCGUUGUGUGUGCAAUUGUGUGGUGUUUUCGCAUUUAAUGGUUUAUUUUUGGACAUGGCAAAUUUUUUAUAGUGGUAAGUACUGAAGAAGGAAAACUUAAAUUUUAAGCUAGAGUGAAGAAGUACCGUGAGGGAAAAUUGUUUGUGUGAAGCUUUUUUUUAGUAGGGGUUAAGCUCUGUACCUUUUGCAUCAUGGUUUUUUAAGAGGUUUUUUAGAUAAAGUUGGCCCGAAAGAAAACGAGCUAUUUUUUAGCUUGCGUCAUCGUUGUAAAGAUGUGCUCAGACUUAAAAAUAGGAGUGAUAUUCUUUUCGCGUUUUUUGAUAGCUGGUUGGUCGGGAAAGGCAUUAGAGUGCUGGCUUGAUUUAUGAUUUUUGCCUUGGGAUGAAUUUUAUGGAAGUUUUCUGGCAAGGAUUUGAAAAUCAAGUCUUGUGUAAGAAAGGAUUAGCUUUCUCAUGUUGUUAAAAAGUGCAUGGUUAGUAGUGUUGGAGGCGGUUUAGUAGGCUUGGAAUCGGCCAUCUUUUAAGUUUGUUUUAAAAUAUCUGUUUUUGUAACUAAAAAUUAAUAUGUGUAUUUUUAAUUAAAUUGUUUUAGUACCGACUUUACUAAUGUAACUAAGUUUAUUUGUGUAAUAAUGAGAAAAUGAGUAUUUAUUUUUAUUUAGUUGCUUUUGUUUAUUAAAGUAAGUAAGCUACGACUUGAUUUAGUGUGUUUAGUGUAAAAAAUUAAAUUCCAGAAAAGGAACUCGGCAAAUGUCGGCCUCGCCUGUUUAGCAAAAACAUGGCUCUUCGGUUAUUAAUUAAAUGAGGAGUCGGACCUGCCCGGUGACCUACGGGUUAAACGGCCGCGGUACACUGACCGUGCAAAGGUAGCACAAUCACUUGCCCUUUAAUUAGAGGCUGGUAUGAAUGGUUUGACGAGGGUUGAGCUGUCUCUUUUGGAAUAUUUAAAAAUUAACUUCUAGGUGAAAAGGCCUAGAUUGAGCUGAGGGACGAGAAGACCCUGUUGAGCUUUAGUGUUGGGUAGAGAGUGGCAUUUCUAUUAUUAAUAGAAAGUUUAGAUUUACUUUUACAUCUUUAGUUGGGGUGACUAGGGAACAUGGAUAGCUUCUCUGUUGUUUGUUUAACUUAAUUUGGUGGACUGACUGGUGAUCCAGCAUUGUUGAUUAUCGGAAAAAGUUACCACAGGGAUAACAGCGUAAUCUUUCUGGAGAGUUCACAUUGAAAGAAGGGUUUGCGACCUCGAUGUUGGAUUAAGGUGUCCUGAGGGUGUAGCAGCUUUCGUUGGUUGGUCUGUUCGACCAUUAAAACCUUACAUGAUCUGAGUUCAGACCGGCGUGAGCCAGGUUGGUUUCUAUCUUCAGUUUUUAUAGUUCUUUGACUAGUACGAAAGGACCGUUUUAAGACAAAUAUUUAGUUUGUGGUGGCUGAAUUUAUCUAAGCUUUAUGAUGAAAGUGUGUUUGAUUUUGUUGAGUUGGCAGAUUUAUGUGACUGAUUUAGGCUCAGUAGAAAAAGGUGUAAUUCCUUUACUUAAUAUUUAUAAUAUGGAAUAAAUAAUUUGUAGUUUUGUCGUUGGAAAUGUUUGUUAUAAACACUUUUAAAUUAGUAAA